CAGCAGCCGCGGUAAUACGUAGGGCGCAAGCGUUGUCCGGAUUUAUUGGGCGUAAAGAGUUCGUAGGCGGUCUGUCGCGUCGGAAGUGAAAACCCGGAGCUCAACUCCGGGCCUGCUUUCGAUACUGGCAGACUUGAGUGUUGCAGGGGAGACUGGAAUUCCUGGUGUAGCGGUGGAAUGCGCAGAUAUCAGGAGGAACACCAGUGGCGAAGGCGGCUUUCUGGCCUGUUCUUGACGCUGAGGCGCGAAAGCUAGGGUAGCAAACGGGAUUAGAUACCCCGGUAGUCCUAGCCGUAAACGAUGGACACUAGGUGUUGGUGGUAUCAACCCCGCCAGUGCCGUAGCUAACGCAUUAAGUGUCCCGCCUGGGGAGUACGGCCGCAAGGCUAAAACUCAACNNGAAUUGACGG
RNAcentral lists this ribosomal RNA (410 nucleotides) under uncultured bacterium. RNAcentral describes it as "bacterial SSU rRNA". It matches the Rfam family "Bacterial small subunit ribosomal RNA", at positions 509 to 916 of the family's 1533-position model. The record is from RNAcentral.